RNAcentral lists this ribosomal RNA (253 nucleotides) under uncultured bacterium. RNAcentral describes it as "partial 16S ribosomal RNA". It matches the Rfam family "Bacterial small subunit ribosomal RNA", at positions 524 to 776 of the family's 1533-position model. The record is from RNAcentral.
UACGUAGGGGGCAAGCGUUGUCCGGAUUUAUUGGGCGUAAAGAGCGUGUAGGCGGCUUUACAGGUCCGUUGUGAAAACUCGAGGCUCAACCUCGAGACGCCGGUGGAAACCGUAAAGCUAGAGUCCGGAAGAGGAGAGUGGAAUUCCUGGUGUAGCGGUGAAAUGCGUAGAUAUCUGGAGGAAGACCAGUGGCGAAGGCGGGUCUCUGGACAGUUCCUGACGCUGAGGCGCGAAGGCCAGGGGAGCAAACGGG